CGCAACCCUUGUCAUUAGUUGCUACAAAGGGCACUCUAAUGAGACUGCCGGUGACAAACCGGAGGAAGGUGGGGAUGACGUCAAGUCCUCAUGGCCCUUAUAGGUGGGCUACACACGUCAUACAAUGGCUGGUACAAAGGGUUGCCAACCCGCGAGGGGGAGCUAAUCCCAUAAAGCCAGUCGUAGUCCGGAUCGCAGUCUGCAACUCGACUGCGUGAAGUCGGAAUCGCUAGUAAUCGUGGAUCAGAAUGUCACGGUGAAUACGUUCCCGGGUCUU
RNAcentral lists this ribosomal RNA (277 nucleotides) under uncultured Comamonas sp. Its description in RNAcentral is "partial 16S ribosomal RNA". It matches the Rfam family "Bacterial small subunit ribosomal RNA", at positions 1097 to 1382 of the family's 1533-position model. Lineage: Bacteria; Pseudomonadati; Pseudomonadota; Betaproteobacteria; Burkholderiales; Comamonadaceae. The record is from RNAcentral.